CCUACGGGAGGCAGCAGUGAGGAAUAUUGGUCAAUGGGCGCGAGCCUGAACCAGCCAAGUAGCGUGAAGGAUGACUGCCCUACGGGUUGUAAACUUCUUUUAUAAAGGAAUAAAGUGCGGCACGUGUGCCUUUUUGUAUGUACUUUAUGAAUAAGGAUAGGCUAACUCCGUGCCAGCAGCCGCGGUAAUACGGAGGAUCCGAGCGUUAUCCGGAUUUAUUGGGUUUAAAGGGAGCGUAGAUGGGUUGUUAAGUCAGUUGUGAAGUGUUGCGGCUCAACCGUAAAAUUGCAGUUGAUACUGGCAGCCGUGAGUACAGUUGAGGUAGGCGGAAUGCGUGGUGUAGCGGUGAAAUGCUUAGAUAUCACGAAGAACUCCGAUUGCGAAGGCAGCUUACUAAGCUGCCACUGACAUUGAUGCUCGAAAGUGUGGGUAUCAAACAGGAUUAGAUACCCCAGUAGUC
This 460-nucleotide ribosomal RNA is filed under the name uncultured bacterium. RNAcentral's name for it is "partial 16S ribosomal RNA". It matches the Rfam family "Bacterial small subunit ribosomal RNA", at positions 338 to 795 of the family's 1533-position model. The record is from RNAcentral.